AUAAUGGGUCAGCGACUUAUAUUCUGUAGCAAGGUUAACCGAAUAGGGGAGCCGAAGGGAAACCGAGUCUUAACUGGGCGUUAAGUUGCAGGGUAUAGACCCGAAACCCGGUGAUCUAGCCAUGGGCAGGUUGAAGGUUGGGUAACACUAACUGGAGGACCGAACCGACUAAUGUUGAAAAAUUAGCGGAUGACUUGUGGCUGGGGGUGAAAGGCCAAUCAAACCGGGAGAUAGCUGGUUCUC
This 243-nucleotide ribosomal RNA is filed under the name Escherichia coli. RNAcentral's name for it is "partial 23S ribosomal RNA". It matches the Rfam family "Bacterial large subunit ribosomal RNA", at positions 612 to 857 of the family's 2925-position model. The record is from RNAcentral. Lineage: Bacteria; Pseudomonadati; Pseudomonadota; Gammaproteobacteria; Enterobacterales; Enterobacteriaceae.